Small nucleolar RNA from Cornus florida, 109 nucleotides. The record is from RefSeq and is a predicted model, not a curated record. Lineage: Eukaryota; Viridiplantae; Streptophyta; Magnoliopsida; Cornales; Cornaceae.
AAGCCAUGGUGAGGGCAUUUGAGAAGCAAAUCAUAAAAACGCUCCCAAGUUUGAUGGAAUUGUUCUUCAUUUUUCCUUUUAAAAGUUGUAACGACCCAGUCAUUUGCCU